GGGCCCUAGAGGGGUUAGGGGAGGGGGCUGGUGGGUCCCCGUCCCCAGAUGCGCCCCAGGAUGGCGCAACCUCGGCUCCCGGGUGGAAAGUAGGGGGAGUGCUGGCUUGGGGGUCGCUUCCCCUCCUGCUCUAGUUUCUGAGGAUGUGAUGACCCCAAAGGUCAUUGGCGCUCCCAGAAUGCUGACGUCAGCUCAGCCGCUCGGAGUAAUCAGUAAUGCAGGGAGGCUACCCGCAGAGUGAACGCGACAGGGGUCGCUUUGGGGACACCAUAGGGCCUUUACUCGUGUUGAGAAUGAAGCCAGCCUGGAAGAUCCCCAGUCUCCAGACAGAGCCUGACAGGGGCAGAUGCUCUGGGAGGACCGUGUCUGGGUUCAGCACCAGGCAGCCAUCCUGGCCCCACAGGGUGCAUAAACCUGAUGCGGGUUUAAUGAGAACUGGUUUUAAAGGAAAAUGGGGCCAUCAGAAGGAAGCUGGCUGGAGUGAAGAGACGUCUAGGAAGAGCCCCUGGCGGGGGCCCUCAUUCCACUGGGUGACCCAGAAGGAGAAAACCGCCGUGGCGCUUCUCAUUCGAAAUGUUUUCUUUACGGACAGUGUUGAGCAAUUGUUAUAA
RNAcentral lists this long non-coding RNA (611 nucleotides) under Papio anubis (olive baboon). RNAcentral describes it as "lncRNA (ENSPANG00000046386.1)". The record is from RNAcentral. Lineage: Eukaryota; Metazoa; Chordata; Mammalia; Primates; Cercopithecidae.